RNAcentral lists this long non-coding RNA (23876 nucleotides) under Sorghum bicolor (sorghum). RNAcentral's name for it is "long non-coding RNA (SBIC_LNC008999)". The stretch from base 11013 to 11161 matches the Rfam family "U4 spliceosomal RNA". The record is from RNAcentral. Lineage: Eukaryota; Viridiplantae; Streptophyta; Magnoliopsida; Poales; Poaceae.
GGUUCAGAGACUAGGAUUUGCCCUCUGCACAUCAGCUAAUUGCUUUCAAAUCUUGAAUAUAGAGCUUCUAUAUGAGACUACCUUCACAUCUUGAAUAUAGAGCUUCUAUAUGAAACUAGUACGAACCUAUUUUUAAAGUCCAGUUAAUUGAUGUCCCCAGAUCCAUCUUCACUCUUCGAGUCACUUAGCAUAGGCAUGAAUGCUGCAAGAAGAACAGCAACCUUGUUUGCUAGGAACCCUGCGGUGCCAACAAAGAGCUCCGUCGGUGUGAGUUCAAAGCUAUCACCUCCAGCACCAUACUUCAGUGCAACUGCGCCUGCAACCAGUACUAGUGAUAGUAUCAACCAUGGCCUCCUUACACCACUGAAACCUGUUACCGAGGGCUGUGCACUGCCAGCUUCUGAAGGUGAAGUGAUCACAGGCAAACCAUCAACUGAUCUUUGGAGCAGCAACAGAUAGAGGAACCCACCAAUGCCACCUAUCAGGAACGAAUAGGCGGCGCUAUCAUUGGAAGCCAAGGUGAAGGCGGAGAAGCCAGUGAUCACUAUAGAUGCAUCAUAGAGCAGCAGAGAUUGUUUGAGGUCAGCAUACUCUCUCAACCCAUCCUCUCUUAGUUCCUUAACGCUUGAAGCUUUGCUUUCUGAGGAUAACAACCCUUCUUGAAGAUCGGAAAGGCCGACUCCUGAGAGGUCAGUGACAGCCACAGGCCUUGCUUCAGCUACUGAAGCUCCAUCAUCUCCAAGAAGCUCAUUUAUUUUCUCAAAAGUGUACUGCAAACCAUUGAACUUAUGUUCAGGAGUUCCAUUAAUUUCUUUAGGUGGAUCAACCGGUCCAUGUAUUACUUUCAAGCUCAAACCAUCUAAUCUCCAUGAACCUGACCUUCAAGGAUAAGAUUGAUAAACAAAGGAUAGAAAACACUCAUCAGGUGAACAUACUGCCAUUACAUUAUAUUUGCAAAGAACAUGAAAUGGGAUGUACCUGAUUCUAGACCGAUCCAGACUUCUUUAAUCCUUUUCAGUUUUGAGGCCUUGAAAGUGACAACAUCAACUGAACCACUUUGGAAGGGUAUCAGUUGCGCUGUCUUAAUUCCAAGUGUAGGUUGACCCAAAUAGAUUGCCGGUACUCUUUGUAGCAAGGAGUCACCAUCAACAUCAAUCAAGCAGAUUAAGAUUGCAGAAUUUUUCUCCAAAGAUGAACUAAAUUCUCUACUUGUGCUAAGCUCCAGCAUAUAGAACGAAUCAGCGUCAUCUAGUAUGAUUGUGUUAAAUAUCUCCUCAGGAACAGUAUUGGGAUAUGUCUUUAGUUCCUCUGCUGGAAGAAGGCGUGAAGGCUUUACAGAGGGCACCAGAUCUGCAGAGUUGAAGGAACAAUGGUCAGUUGGUCACUGAAUGGUGUGGAUACAAUGGUAAAUUUUCACAACCAACAAACAGAGCUUUCAUGGUGUCAAUAGUAAAAUAAAAUGAGAAAUUAAAUAGGAGAAAACAAACUACAACUACAUUGCAGCCGGUAAGUGAAACAUUAAUAUGAUUCCUUGUGGAAGCAGAAACAGUUGCAUACAACUACGCAAUAUGAAUGCAUACUAUAUUGAUGGGUAUAUUACAAAGAACAAUCACAUAGAAAUACAUUGUUUACCAGGGCAAAGAAAUAAGCUUGGAGCGACAACAUCAAAAGUCUGAUCAGACAGUACCUUGAAAGGAAGACCCCUUGGAGAAGCAAGGCAUCCUCUGAUGUUUGUUUUGUCCUUUUGGUUUCAUUCUGUCUGGAAAGACAUGGCAAUACAUUCUCGAGCUAUUGUUCAGCAGCAACCAUCUGGGCAGAAAAUUACGGUGAACUGAUGGACGGUGAACUGAUGGAGCAACACACCCUGGAGAGAGGAUCACCAUUCUCUGUAGAAAUGAUAGCAAAGCAGACGUAUUAGCUGUAGCAAACAGGGGUGCAGAUAGCUCUGAUACACUCGUUACCAACAUAUUAAUUUAAAUAUCAAUGCAUACACAGGAUUUAAAGCCCAUCCACAUUUCGUGACUGAACCUUCGGGAGCUGAAGUACAAAGUACAAACUAAUUAAGGACCACAAAAAAAAUCAAAGGCACCAUUAAAACUGUGAGAUCAGCGGGCAGGGGGGCAGAGGAUACAUGUGAAGGUAGCAAAUGGCCACCCGUGCACUAGUAUUUAAUCAUGGGAUAGCAAGGAGCAGAAUUAUGCCUAACAAACAAAUCAAAGAUAAUAACAUAACUGAACUGCGAUAACAGCAUGUCAGCAUGGACAGGAUUUGUCACUAUUAGAAUAGCACACCUAAAGUGAAGGCAAAAUAACCUACCAUAGAUCAUGUCCUAUUCCUGCUGUCCCAUAUGGCAGUGGUACACAAACGAAUAAGCUAGGUUGCAAGAAACAAAUUUUUUACGCCAAGCUUGAUGCUGAUAAUACUAGUUACCAAUGUAUUAAAUAUCAAUUUUUUUCUCGAACAUGCAAGAGAGCUGGGUAUCAUUGUAUUAAGAAGAAAAAAUGGAUAAGAACACAUACAAGGCACAACCACUAACACCACUAUGUCCAAAUUAAACAAACUAGCCCUUGACACACAAAGUAGGUGACCUCAACCCAAAAUUAACUCCAUAUUCAGCCCCUAGGAAAUGAGAUUAUUGAUACCUGUGCCCCUGCCAAGCUCCAAUAAAGAAGCCCCUCACUAGCGAGCAACAGAGCUGUAGCUAGGUUUGGAGAUUCAGCAUCAAACACACAACAAUUACGAAUAUUCCACGCUCCUAGAAUAAUGAUGGAGUUGAGUCCCUUUCUUAAGUGAACAACCACUGCAUUUUAACUUCCGUCCCACCAAUCAUCAAACAAAGUCUCAUCAGACUAGGGGGUAAGCAUUUCUAAGCCACACUUUACACAGGAGGAAUAACCAGAAUUCACAAGCAAAGACGUAUUAAAUAGCAAUGGCUCAAUGCAUACAGCAUUCAAAGCUGACAUUUGGUGACCGAACCUAUAGGGGAGCUGAAGUACUAAACUAAGCACCACAAAGAAAUCAAAGGCGUCAUUUGUUUUUGUUCCAUAUUAGAGCAAAACUAUGAGACGAGCGAGGGCAGAGCAUACAUGUGAAGGUAGCAAAUGGCCACCCGUGCAAUAGUAUUCGAUCAUGGGAUGGCAAGGAGCUGAAGUAUGCCUGGCCAAGAAAUCAAAGAUACUAACAUAACUGAACUACAAACUGUGAUACCAGCGUGGACACGGUCACCAACCAACUCUGUAACCCACUAUUCGAUUAGUAAAACCAAAAUCACCUAGUACCAUAUGUCGAACAAGCAAAGGUCGUAACAAAGAAUUAGACUUAAAAAUUCGUGGCCAUAAUAGAGCCUGCCUUACCGGAGGUAGGAGGAAUUGGCUGAGGCGCGGAUGUGGGAGAGAUCUCUACCCGGCGGCGCUCCAGUCCACAGGAGGAGACGAGGAGGGCGAGGCCGUCGGAUUCCGUGGAGCUGGUGGCGUGUGCUCCGCUUCUUCGUGGAGGGAGGCAAGAGGCGUGCCGCGUUGGAGUUCGGCGGUGGCGAGGAACACGUGGGAGAGGGGACGGAGUCGCGGUUUCGCGGACAGCUACCAUUGCGAGGGUGUUUUCGGGAUUUCGUGGCUUGAUAUUUCGUGCGGACAGCUACCCUGGCGCCCUGACGCAACCGGGCACAUACUGCCACAGCGGGCCCUCGGCGCGGCCCGGCACGGCCGCCGGCGCUGGCCCCUGCACGGCUAAGGUCUACAUGCUGGACGUUGCUUAUCUAUACCGUUGAAUAUGUGUAAAACAAUAGGGAGAAGUGUGAACACAGUUAGAAGAAGUGCAGCAGCACGAAUCUCAGAGCACAUUUGGAUGGUCCAGAUAAGCAAUGUUGAGCAUGUACAUGCUGCAUUAUAUUACUGAACGCAGGGCACGGGCAAGCCCCGAUGCGGCGCGCGGCCCUAGAGCGGCCACAGCCGUCGGCGCAGGCACGGCCAUUGGCAAGGGGCGCGGCCUGCCCCCAUGGCUACCUCCUCCUCUCUUUAUUCCUGCACAACGCCCAGUCCUCAAAUUAUGCCCCUAAAAUUCUAUUCGCAUGCUGGACUAAAAAAAUAAGAACCCAAAAUUGCAUUCAACUCCAGCCCAACACCCUCGGCAAAUUGAGAUGCGUCGGUGGGGUGGAGACCGGCACGUGCACGAGCUGCGGCUUUGCUCCCCUUGGCAGCAGAAGGCAGCCGGCGAGGGCGUCGGACGGCGGCCCUCCUGCUCUACACGCUGGCGCGCGGCGGCCCUAUAGCGGCGGCGGCCCUCGAGCGCGGCCCAGCGUUGCGGCUGCAUGGGCGGCGUGGCGGCACGGGGCCGGGCGGCAACGGCGGCAGCGCGGUUCUGUCGUGCGCUACCGUGUGCGGGGUGGGGUGGGGAGGGGGGAAAGUGGGGUGUUAUUGUUAUUGUUGUUGUUGUUGUUGUUGCUGCUGCUGCUACUGUUGCUGCUGUAUUUAAAUUCCACAUAUUUAUUUUAUUACAAUUCUUAAUAUUUAAUUAUAAAGUAAUCUUGAAGAUUACACCUAUAUUAAGACGUAAUACUAAAAAUUACGCAUCGACAUCUACUAAUCCUGGAGUUUAAUUGUGCGGGCAUGUUGGACAUCGCAAAGAGAGAUUUUGAGAUGCUCGCCGUGAAUGGCAGCAACUACCUCACUUGGACGACCGACAUCAAGAUCAGACUCGAUGGCAUGCACCUUGUUCAUACCAUUGUCUAGCCUGAAGCUGGCAAGGAUGAGCACACAAAGCAAGACAAGACGAGGGCGUUGCACUACCCGCGACACUACUAACGGUUGAUAAGUGUUACUUUUAACCACCAACUAAACAUGCAUAAAUGCUCAUAAUGAAAUAUAUGUAUAGGAUAGGGGUUCAAUCGAUAGAGUUCCACGAGUUUUGGUAUAUGUGUGUUUUUCAAGGAUUAAACAGGAAAAUAGGAGAAGAUAUAGUGGACGUCGGUGUAAAAGUCAUAUUCCAACGUAAUCCUGAGAGAAGAACGUUAUAGAGAAUACCAAAGGUGAGACUCUGCAAAGAGGUGCCCACCAGGCAUAGGGCCAGGUCGGCGGACCUAGGGGCUAGGGCGGCCGACCCAGCCUGGCCCCACCUAGCGUGGCCUUCUCUCACAUUCCUCCACCAACCUCAAGGAUUGAUCUCCACCAUUGUUUAAGUCGGUUUGAUCCAAUGGCCCAUGUUCAUUCCACAGGGCUAUAAAUACCAAGCCCUCUAGAUGAAAGCAUUCUCCUCUAAGUUGAAACCCUGAUUCUGCUUCUACGUCAAGAGUUCCUAUAUAGAGAAUCAAGAGAAGCAUUGAGAGAAGAUUAGUCUUGUAGUGCACAAGUGAUUAGGGCUAGUCUUAUUUAGAAAUAGAGAGAUAGAGUGUUGGGAAGAGUUCGGGAAAGCUUCGGCUUGUUGGUGGCUCCUCUUCGGCUUGUACCUACGGGAUCAAGUUCCAUUAACUCUGGAGCCUCCUUGUGAGAGUCUUUUAGUAUUCAACUUCUAAUUCAAGUAAGUUCGUUGUUAUUAUUAUUCAUUUGGUUUACGACUAGUAUGAAUUCUAGGAAUGGAAGCUUUUAAAGACAGAGGGAGUAUGAUAUUCUAGGAAUUGAAGCUUUCAAAGAUAGAGGGAGUAUGAUCUACUCACUAUUUUUCUAGGUUGUUUUUAUAUUUAUUUUGGCUAAAUCUUUGAAAAAAGUAAAUUAUAGAAAACAUAAAAUAGAAAGUCUAAUUUUAUUGGAUUCCACAUGAGUAAAUCUAUAUAGUAAACUUUUGAUAUGAUAUGAUAUACUUUAGUAUAAAAGUUUUGCUCUAGCUUUAGAUCUAUGCUUUUCUAUGAUUAUUUCGUAGCUGCAGUUUUUGUAGUCUGAUGAAAUUUUUAUGGUGUACUAGUCAUUGUAUGCUUGAGAUGUUGUAAAAAUUUCACGCUCAUUGAAUCCUGCAUGUCCGAUAGAUUUAUUCAAGUUUAUGCUUAUUAAAUAGUUUUUAAAAUGGUUAAAAGUGUGUAAAAUUAGAAAACAUGUGUUCUCUAUGUAACAUUACUAUUUUUAUAUCUUAUUAACACUUAAAAUAAUCAUGUUAUCAUAGAGAAAAUUACACUAAGAACAUACAUUUUCUAUUUUUACACACUUUUAACUAUUUUUAAACUAUUUAAUAAGCAUAAACCUGAAUAAGUCAAGAGUUCCUAUAUAGAGAAUCAAGAGAAGCAUUGAGAGAAGAUUAGUCUUGUAGUGCACAAGUGAUUAGGGCUACUCUUAUUUAGAAAUAGAGAGAUAGAGUGUUGGGAAGAGUUGGGGAAAGCUUCGGCUUGUUGGUGGCUCCUCUUCGGCUUGUACCUAUGGGAUCAAGUUUGCUGCUUAUAUUUCACUACCUCCCCGUGUCAGGAUUGGGUUUUGCUCGCCUGUUUGUAUGAUUUGGGAGCGGAAUUAAAUCAUAAGCAGGAGGAUACAGUGUCUGAUAAGAAUAAGUAUUAACCUUAUGUUUUAUUCCAAACUGGUCUCUCAUGACCUCUGCUAUCUUAUCGGCCCAAUAGGCAUCGGCAUCCUACCGAUGUGCGGGUUGAAUUUCUGGCACCUGCUGAUAAGCUUCCACGUGUCUCUGGGGUACACAGUCUCCAAGAAACAUUACAUUGGCCAUAGCUUGUUGACCACCAACCUGUUGAGCGAGAUUCAUCGGCUGAUUUACUGGUCCUUGAUUCUGAAAACCGACUUGCAUGUGUCCUUGCUGGAAUCCCGCAGCCUGAUGAUUCUACUAUGUCACAUGUGGAAAGAACAACUGCUCUGUCCAACCAUUAUUGGCGUUCAUCGGCAUAUGUCCUACCGAUGGUUAAUAAUUAGUUGUCAUUGCUGGAUUGGCAUAACCUGUUUGAGUCACAAACCUCGGUUGAGUUGGCAACGGAUUUGCCGAUGAAUUUGCAUUAGGCAUCUGGAAUGUCGGCAUUUGAAAAUUCCCUGUAAUAGGUCUUGCAGUAGUAGUUGUUGAAUACUGAAGAAUUUGAGUCAUCGGCGAAACUAGGGGUGCUGAUGUCAUAGGAGCCUUCCCUGCUAAGUCAGUUACCUGAGAUGUUCCAGAACAAAAAACUCUGGAGGCAUACCAUAUCCCCACCAAUUGAGAGGAACUUGAUAAUUCUGAAACACAGACCCUGACAUUGCCGAUGUCGAUAAAUCUGUGUUGAGCUGAACCCGUCCCCCUAAUGUCAUUGGAUUAGGUCUCAUCGGUGUAGAUUGCUCAUUAGUCAACCCUAUUGUGCUUGGAGGAGAAGUAGCUUGUGUACCUGCAACGGCUGGAAGAGCCGAUGGAGCUGUAUCCGAUGACAAACCUGACUGAUGAUAGGUCAGGCCAGCAUAUAGUGGUGGUGUCUGUCCUUCUUUAAAAGUUCUAGCCACAACAUUGUAAACAGUAUUGGCCAGCACAUUGGAGUGAUUAAUCAAGGCACGAUUAAUAGCAUUAUCAACCAUGUCUUGCAAUUUACCAUGAUUGGGAUCAAAAGUAACCUACCGAGGCAUCGGCAGCUCUUGCUUCUGGAUAACAUCCCCGCUCCUGUUGACGCUAAAGGACUUCAAGCAAAGCUGCUUGUAUUCCUCCAUAGCCCUCUCCAUAGCCUGCUUCUGCUUGUCCCUGAGAUCGGCUUCUGUCACAACAAUGACAUUCUCCGUGUCGAGAUCAACAGUAGCCAUGUUGAUUUUGUUGAUAGAUUGGUCCCACUAGGCAUGCCAAAAUAUGUGUUGAUGCAAAAAUAGAUCAGCAAACAUAAAGGGCUAAUACUCAAUUCAAACGUUGAGGUGUGCCAGCCGAUUUGACCUAGCAAUCAACAAAGGUGAUAACUUGAAUACUUUGGUCCCGACAACAGCGAUACGCCCGAAUGACAUGGCCAAGAGGUACUCACGCGGAACUCGAGAAUUCGCCGAGUGUUGCUCGAUGAAUCCUUAAGAACUCGUAAAGAAAAGAAAAUGUGCAGAUUGACGAAGUCGUCGAAAAAGUAGAUGUAAUAGUAGAUGUAAAAACUUGUGUAUGAUAUUUAUUAAUUGUCCUCCUUACAUCGCUACUAGGCUUAUAUUUAUACUCUGUCCUAAAGAGUUACAACCGUAUAUGACUAGGAUUUAAUUCUAAACUAAACAGGACUCUUACGUAAGGCAAACUCUAACAAAUAUGGAAAAGAAACACCUAUCUAUUCUGGUAAUCAGCAUAUCACUGUUGCCUUCCUAGCAACUCCCACAUCUCCCUUCAUCAUCAUCGGCAUACUCCUUGUAUCCUUUCAUCAUCAACGGCAUAUUCCCUGUAUCCUUACCAACUCCCAUACCUUUCCUCAUCGGCAUCAGCAAUCAUCAACAUCGGCAACCAAUCAGUAAUGAUCAAUGGCUACCGCCAAGCUUAGCAACAUCUUCCACCCAUCAUCCAGUCAUCAACAUCAUUAGCUAUCGACAAUCUUCUCACCAACUAGACACAACAUCUCCUUGACUGCCGAUUAAGUUUCACUGACUACCCCGACUUGUGCCCAAACAACGGUGUCAACAAAACCGGACUUGGAAGCUUAGGCAAAUCAACAUAGUUUAAGUCUACAAUUAGAAGCUCAUGAUGCUUAGAGUACAAGAACAAGACAAAAAUGCAAAUGAAUAUCUAGACUUAAAUGUUUCUUCAAGUGAUAUCCAACAAAUGGUACUCAUGAUGAUAAUAGCAAAUGUUCAAGAUAGCAAACAAGUGGUUCCAUACUAGAAGACCUUUAAUUGAUAGAAGAUUUUCAUUUGGUAUUGGACAAGGUCUUCCAAAUAAUAUCACAUCUCUACAUGUGGUAUCUAUCAUACAAGAAGGUGGUUCCACAAGUGAUCCUCAACUUUAAGUGACCAUCAAGAGAAGAAAAGUUCCCUCACCAAUAAGAUUGUCAAGUGAAUGACCCAUGCUAUGACAUAGGGGGAGGUUCCCCACCAAAUGGUAUCAAGGUCAAAGAUCCUAUGUGGUAUCUCAAGAGCAAUACAAAUGAUGUCAUUCCAACACAUAUGGUUAUGUCCAUAAAAAAUGCAAGAUUCAAGCCUCAACCAUCUACCUCAUAUGCAAUCAUUUGUCACAAUGAGAUGCACACUUUUUCAAUUGGUGUCAAGUGAUUUAAUUGGUAUCACAUACUUUUUAUAGAAAUUGAUGACAAAGGGGGAGAAAUUUGUGCAAAGAUAUAAAAUAUGGGAAGUUGGUUUAAACAUGGACAUGGACAAAGAGGGAACAACAUUAAGGAAAAGAGAUGGAUCAAAAUUCUUGGACAAGAGAAGCACACAAGUAGGAGGAGCAGGCUCAUGAACCUUGUUUUUUUGCAUUUGAUAUGUGUAUAUUCAUGUGCUUGCUUACAUUGCAUAAGUUUUUAAAUUCUAUAUGCAUGUUUGUGUGGUGUAUGCUAGUUAUAGAACUUGAUGAAUGAUAUGAUAACUAGCAUGCAUAGGUUGGUAACUAGACUUGUCUUCAAAAGGUAAAAACUAGACCCUUGCUUAUAAUGUUGAUCUCAUAGGGUUUCUAGUGUUUUUGUUGUCUAGCUACUAAUGGUGCUAAGGAUGGUGUACAUUGAAUACUUCAAAUGAUAUCGAAUUUGGUUUCAAGCUACAAAGGUUUAUUCUAUACACCUUAGCACUUAGUAGGGUUUUAUGGUGCUUAUCCGAAUCUUGAUAUAGAGCUUAAAUGUUGGAUAAGUAGCAUAAAAUCCAAAUCAAGUUAGCAAUUUACACUUGUGUGAAGUGCUAGCUUGAAAAAGCUUAAUUUCCAUAUCUUUGUAGAGUUGUCAUCAAUUAACAAAAAGGGGGAGAUUGAAAGGUCCUUGUUUGGUUUUGGUAAUUGAGUGACAACUUAAGUGGACUAAUAGUAUUUAUGUGAGAUACAUAGGAGAUUAGUCCACAGGUGAUUACGUAAUGAUGAAGGAGCUCAUUGCAUAUGAGACAUGACAUGGAGUCAUGUGACCAAGGUGGAGAAGAUCAAGAUGAGGCUUGGCUCGAUGGACUGGUUGCAAGAGUGAAGGGCAAGUCGGAGGCUUUGAAGUGAGGGACCGCGUGUGACGGUGAAGCUUGAGCAAGACUUGGCGCUGAUGGACCAAGGCAACGGUGAAGAGCAAGUGAGGUCAAGAUCGAUGAACCAAUACAGUCAUGUGAUGAUAUGAACUGGAUCAUAUAAUUUGGUGAUUCGUUGCUACAUGUGUUGCAUCAACAUUGUAGGAGAUAGAAUGGAAAGCGCAAGGCAAAGGUAUAACCUAGGGCAUUUCCAUUUCACUGGUCAUAAGUGUGUAGAGAAGAUCACAACAGAUGGUGUUAGCACAUUCGGCGCUUUUGAGAAAAUGAAACGCAUAUUUUCUAUUGCAUCGGUGGGAAUUUUGGAGAAGUUAUGGGAGUCACCGGAGAGGCACCAGACGCUACACCGUGUGUCCGGUGCGCUCUCGGUUUCAAGCACUGUUAACGCUAAGCACCGAACGCGGGCUAGAUUCUGUUCAUGCGUCCGGUGUGGCUUGACUUCAGCAGGUGCUUCUCACUAAGAGCACCAGACGCUCAGGGAGUGUCCGGUGGUGUGAGUCCAGUGACCCUGCGAGUUUGUUUUGCUCUUUGCGUACAGGUCCGAUGUGCACAGGACACAUCCGGUGUGGACCAGCAGAGCGUCCGGUGUGGCUGGUGCAGGCACAUGCAUGUGUUAGCCAUUGGCGGCAACGGUCGAGUUCAAAUGGCUUACGAGAAUCCUGCAAACUUGUUAGGAGCAACUGCAAAGAAUCACGAGCAAAGCAAGGGUUUACUCAGCCUUUAUAUUCUCUAAAAUCUCUAAAAUCAUUAUUAAAGCCCCAUGUGAAUCUCGGCUUAGCUACAAGGCCCAUGAUUAGCAGGGCGUAAAAUACAAGAGGAAAACCCCAAAUCGGCAGCUCUACUUGGCGUUGCAGGUCGAGUCCGGCAGAUAGCAGUAGUAGUAGGUCGGUUCCGUUUAGUACCACAUCGCCUAUGUUAGCGAACGCACGUCUCCAACGAUGUAUAAAAGUAGGCUGUGGGCUAAUGCUCCAACUCAUCUUUGCGCUUGGGGCAAUGACGCAGCUCAUGAGGUAUUACCGAGGCGCGUCAAUUGCUGGUUGAAAACUAUUUCCAAACCCCCUCAGCGCGGCCCACCAGGGCGCCAGAGAAUUUCUGGAAGGGCUCCCUCUAACCAGGGUAAAGCCCACAAUUGACUGAAAAUUUUAGAGGCCUUACAGUUGCUAAGCAAUCAGCAGUUCGUAACUGGAAAUAAUUGUUUUGGCUGUUUCAGCUGUUUUAUCAAAGCAGCUUAGAUAUGACUUUAUCAUAGAGUCUAAAUAAGAUUUGGAGUCUUAUUUUUUCUACUUCUUUCUUUAAUAAAUAUGAUUUUACAUCAGUAAAAUACCAUAAAUUAUUUUGUACUCUGUAAUAGAGUCUUGUAUUGGAUGCUCUGGGAUGCUCUUAGCCUUCGUUAUUGUACAGUUUCCCAGAGUACUCUGACAAAACGGACAGGAAGGUGAGCAAACUUACGUCAGUGAAAAGGAUGCCGGCGACACCUGCCAUAGCGAACCGGCAGUGCACGAGCUCGGCCUGAACGUACCACUUCAAGCUUGCCGGAUCCUCGCCGAGGCCCAAGGGAUCGAAGCCGAAGUCACCUGGUAGUCUGCAACAAAUCAUCAGAGAUAACUACUCCACUGUCAGCUGACGAACAUCCAUCGCCCGCAGAGAAAUAAGCACCGCAGAUAUCAGAGCAGUCAGAAAACCGACGUGCCGUCGAGGUGAGGAGGCGGGUCCAGUCCGGGCAACCAGGUCGGCCGCUGAGUGCCGGCGGCUCGGACGGCGACGACCCGAGCUCUGGACAAAUACAGCCGGGAAUGGUUGUUGCGUGCUUGAUGAUCUUGUCUUUUGGCCGGGGGUGUUGGACAAAAAGAAGCUCUCGGUUCUGGAUAUGGAAUUAGAGGCGUUCGUUGCUUCGUUCAAAGGCUGACGGGCUGUGAAGCUGAUGCCAGGGCGGAAAAGCGCAAAAAUGUGGUGGUUUGCCAGGCUCCGAUCUGAUAAGGCGAGGAGAACUUUUUGGGCCACACUAUCUGUGGUCUGUGGACUGGCACGAGCAUUCCAGCUACUGGUUGGUGGUAUUUUCUUCUUUUUGCAGGCUGAGACGUGAAGUAACAGAUGGGCCUCUGGCGGGCCGUGUUCCUCUGCAUUCAAUGGUUCGUUAGUUUUUUUUUCUUUUGUUUCGAAAAAAAAUUGGGUAAAUUUUUUUUUCAAGAAAUGUUUGGAAAGUUUAGCUUGAGAGAACAGAGUACAUGACAAGAAUUUGAGAGUGUAUGCCAACCAGGACUUACGGCCCGCAAUGGUUCGUGCAUAAAUGUGGUGAUAUUAAGUUUUUACAACUAUUCCAGUAUCUACUUUUCAGCACCACCCUUUUGAGUCCAUCACUCCUAACGCGGCGCCGCCUUCCAAGUUCCUGCUGAAGAAAGAGGGUGAAGAUGAAAAGGUGCCGGCGAUCCUAAACAAGGAGUACUCGGCGUGGAUAGCCAAGGACCAACAGGUCCUGAGCUAUCUGCUUGUUUCCCUGUCGAAGGAGAUCCUUCUCCAAGUCUCCAAUGCCACGACGGCGUCCGAGGUGUGGGCAGGCAUAGAAUCUUUCUUUGCCUCCCAAUCACGUGUGAAGAUCAUCAGCACCGGGAUGGCCUUGGGCAAUGCAUCCAAAGGCUCAUCCACCGUCGCAGAGUAUUACUCCAAGAUGAAAACACUCGCCAACGAGAUGGCAUCAGCGGGGCGUCGCCAGGAGGAUGACGAGUUUGUGCCCUACAUCUUGAAUGGGCUCGACGAAGACUUUGAUGCCGUGGUGACAGCGGUUGCUGCUAGGGUUGAACCCAUCACACCUGGUGAGCUUUAUACUAAGAUGAUUAGUCAUGAACAAAGAUUGGAACUGCGCAGUGGAGGAUCUCAGUCCUCUGUCAAUCUUGCGUCGUGCUGUGGUCAUGGCGGAGGGAAUCAGAAGGGUCUGCGCCCUGGAUCUGGAUCUGGUGGUAACAACCAUCAGAAUCAGAAGGGCGGGUGGAACAACAACAAUGCCAACAAAGAUCAAGCUCCUUUUUAGUAGGGUCUGAUUUGUCAGGUCUGUGGGAAGGAGGGACACCCUACAUAUCGUUGCUUCAAGAGGUUUAACCGAUCCUUCACCGGGCCACCGCAGAAGUCCGCCUCUGCCGCCACCUCGACAUAUGGAGUAGAUACCAACUGGUAUAUGGACUCCGAAGCUACUGACCACAUCACCAGCGAGUUGGACAAGCUGUCCGUCCGCAACAGGUACGACAGCGGCGACCAUGUUCACACCGCCAAUGGUUUAGGUAUGAAGAUUUCACAUGUUGGUCAUAGUUUUGUGCAAUCUCCAUCGCAUAAAAUUCAUCUAAAUAAUAUACUUCAUGUUCCUGAUGCUAGCAAAAGUUUAGUAUCUGUUAAUCGUCUCACACGAGACAAUAAUGUUUUUGUUGAGUUCCAUCCUGAUCAUUUUCUUAUAAAGGAGGCGGUGAAGAAGAACAUACUCCUCAGAGGCAAGGUUGAAGGAGGUCUCUAUCCUAUCGUGAGUAGGUCAUCACUAAAUAAGCAAGCACUUGGCGUCAUCAAACCGUCUUCCUCCACAUGGCACAGUCGGCCAGCUCCUCUAGUGGUUCAUCGAGUCCUUAGUCAUCAUAAUCUUCCCUUUGUUCAGGAUGAAAACAAUAAACAUGUGUGUGAUGCUUGUCAACAGGGCAAAAGUCAUCAAUUGCCCUAUCCAAAGUCCACUAGUGUGACUACUAGUCCUUUGGAUCUUGUUUUUUCUUAUGUGUGGGGGCCUGCACCAUCAUCUGUAGGUCUCUUUAGUUAUUAUGUGAGCUUUAUUGAUGACUACUAAAAAUUUUCUUGGAUUUAUUUGAUUCGCCACAAAUCUGAAGUUUUUCAACGCUUCCAAGAUUUCCAUAGCUUAGUUGAACGACAGUUUGAUAAAAAAUCCAAGCUAUGCAAACUGAUUGGGGGGAGAGUAUCAAUCCUUGAAUUCUUUUUAAAAAUGAAUUGGCAUUCAUCAUUUUGUUUCAUGUCCACAUGCACACCAGCAAAAUGGAGCCACAGAACGCAAACAUAGACAUAUAGUUGAGAUGGGAAUCACCCUGCUUGCCCAUGCAGCAAUGCCACUCAAGUUCUGGGAUGAAGCAUUCCAGACUGUUGUCUUUCUUAUCAAUCGAUUGCCAUCUAAAGUUAUUGACAAUGAUACACCCCUCCAUCGCCUCUAUAAACAAGAACCAGAUUAUAGCUUCCUUCGUACUUUUGGCUAUGCCGUUUGGCCAAACCUGAGAGCCUAUAACACAUGCAAGCUUCAAUUCCGCUCCAAACGUUGUGUAUUUAUAGGAUAUAGAAAUUCUCUCAAAGGUUUCAAAUGCCUAGACCCAAGUGAAGGCAGAAUUUACAUUUCACGAGAUGUCGUCUUUGAUGAAACUGUGUUUCCUUUUUCACAGUUACAUGCCAAUGCAGGGGCGCAAUUGCGUACUGAACUCCAAGUGCUCCCUCAAAUCCUUCUAAAUCCAUCUAUGUCUUUUGGAGAUGCACAUAUACAUGAUCAGCAUUUCACUUCUUCUGUGCCUGCUAAUGUUUCUUCUAGCUCUAUGUUUCAGUCUAUAGAAAAAACUUCCACACCAAACAGUGCCUGCAGCAGUGAACAUGGUGAUGCUGACCAGCCAUAUCGCAUGUGUCCCGUGCCGUCCGGACACACACAUGCCAAUGGUGAUCCACCGGUGGACACCACCAGCAUAGGCUCAAGAUCACCAUCGGGAUCCCUGCGGUCACCAGGCGUGGUGCCUUCUACAAUGAUCGCGCUGAUGUCCUCCUCUACACCUGCUGCCUCACCUGAUCCAAGCGCGGGGGAGCAGCUACUCGACUUGGCGACCGAAUCAGGUUAGCCACACUCGGAAUCAGUUGUGCCUGAGUCUGGUACGUCGCCUCCAGUGGCUUCGCACAAUCCGCACGAUUGGUUGCAAAAGGGUACAAAUAGAGGUAUGGAAUAGGCUACGAAGAUACUUUCAGACCUGUUGUAAAGGCAGCUACCAUACAAUUGAUAUUAUCUGUGGCAGUAACAAAGGGCUGGAGUCUUCGACAACUUGACGUUCAGAAUGCUUUUCUACAUGGGGUUCUGAAUGAGGAGGUAUAUAUGUAUCAGCCACCGGGAUAUGAGAACAAAGAGCAUCCAUGAUAUGUGUCUAAAUUCGACAAGGCCUUGUAUGGUCUAAAGGAGCCUGGUUUGCUCGGCUCAGUGCAAAGCUAGAGUCCUUGGGUUUUGUUUCUUCAAAGGGUGACACAUCCUUGUUCUACUAUAACAAGGGAAAAUUCAGCGUAUUCAUUCUUGUGUAUGUGGACGACAUAAUAGUUGCAAGUUCAUCGCCGGAGGCAACCAAAGCAUUACUCAGUAAUCUUCAGAAAGAUUUUGCUUUAAAGGAUUUAGGUGACUUACACUACUUCGUUGGAAUUGAAGUGAAAAGAACUCAAGACGGCCUAGUGCUUAGCCAGCAAAGAUAUGCAACCGACGUCCUCUCUAGAUCUAGAAUGAGCAAGUGCAAGGCCAUUGAUACACCGCUUUCAAGUACAGAAAAGUUAAGUGCUGCAGAGGGUACUGCUCUUGGACCUGAGGAUAGCACAAAAUACAGAAGCAUGGUUGGUGCAUUGCAGUACUUGACUUUGACAAGACCAGAUAUAGCAUUUGCUAUGAACAAAGUGUGUCAAUUCCUUCAUACACCUACGGUUAUUCACUAGAGUGCAGUCAAACGCAUACUUCGUUAUGUACAGGGAACAGUCAGUUUAGGACUAAAGAUUGGGAGAUCAAAGUCCAUGAUAGUGAAUGGUUUCUGUGAUGUCGAUUCGGCUGGUUGUGUGGAUGACAGAAGAUCAACUGGCGGCUUUGCCAUUUAUCUUGGUGAUAAUCUAGUCUCCUGGAGUGAAGCAACCCACAGUUUCAAGAUCUAGUACAGAAGCUGAGUAUAAAUCUUUGGUAAAUGCAACAGCAGAAAUGAUUUGGAUUCAGCAGUUACUAACAGAACUCGGUGUGAGUCAUUCACCUACUGCACGGCUAUGGUGUGAUAACAUAGGAGGAACUUAUUUAUUUGCUAAUCCAGUAUUCCAUGCUUGAACAAAACAUAUUGAAAUUGAUUUCCAUUUUGUCCGAGAAAGAGUUGCACAGAGGUUACUUGACAUCAGGUUCAUAAGUACUGAUGAUCAGAUAGCAGAUGACUUCACUAAGGCGUUACCUCAAGUGUAGUUGAGAGCUUUCAGAAACAAUCUCAACCUUGUUAGUGGCUGAGAUUGAGAAGGGGUGUUAAGAGAUAAAUCUCCUCCCUAUGUCUAGGUUCUUUGUAUCUAAUCAGAUCCUAGUCAUUAGCCUAGAUUAUAGGAACAGAUGUAUUCUAUGCAUGUAAUCAGUUGUAAUUGAUCUCCUGUACAUGCCACCGCCGUGGGGGCUAUUCCCCGGUCAAUAGAAACAUGCAACCGAGUAUGUCAAGGGCUUCAUACUCGUUAACCUAAAACUUUACAAUGGAAUUCUGCAGAGUAGAGUUCUAUGUGAUGCAUUAGCAUAGAUCAGAAAAAUCCGCAAGCGAUGCAUUAGCAUAGAUCAGAAAAAUCUAUCAUUGUUACCAGGGCCCAUGUGUCAGCCAGACAAACACGCACAUAACAUAACACAACAUCACAGCCCCGGGCCGGGCCUUCCCCAAACCAGAGCACACCUCUUGCUCUCGAAAAACCUGAAGCAAAAUAAUAAGAAGUCUACUUCGACUUCCUCAAGUAUCACAAAAAAAUCAGUUUCUCCACCCUGAAUUAGAAAAUCGGACAUAACUCUUCUUCCAUCAUUUCAAACCCGACAUAUGACCUCCCUUGCUGUUUGUCUAGGUGGAUUUUCUUUUGUUUCUUUUUAUAUUUAUUUUAGCCAAAUCUUUGAAAAAAUAAUAGUAAAUUACAGAAAAAUCAUGAAACAAAAACUCUAUUUUUUUAACUCCACAUAAAUAGUUCUACACAGUAAACAUAUGAUAUGAUAUGCUUUAGUACUUUUUGCUCUAACUUUAGGUCUAUGCUUUUCUAUGAUUAAUUCAUAGCUGCACUUUCUUUGGUCCUAUUGUGGUGAAGUUUUUCUGGUGCACUAAUCAUUAUAUGCUUGAGAGGUAGUAAAAGUUUCAUGCUGAUUGGAUCAAGUAUGACUGAGUUAUAGACUUAUUUAGGUUUAUGCUUAUUAAAUAGUUUAAAAUAGUUAAAAGUGUGUAAAAAUAGAAAAUGUAUGUUCUUAGUGUAAUUUUCUCUAUGAUAACAUGAUUAUUUUAAGUGUUAAUAAGAUAUAAAAAUAGUAAUGUUACAUAGAGAACACAUGUUUUCUAAUUUUACACACUUUUAACCAUUUAAAAACUAUUUAAUAAGCAUAAACUUGAAUAAAUCUAUCGGACAUGCAGGAUUCAAUGAGCGUGAAAUUUUUACAACAUCUCAAGCAUACAAUGACUAGUACACCAUAAAAAUUUCAUCAGACUACAAAAACUGUAGCUACGAAAUAAUCAUAGAAAAGCAUAGAUCUAAAGCUAGAGCAAAACUUUUAUACUAAAGUAUAUCAUAUCAAAAGUUUACUAUAUAGAUUUACUCAUGUGGAAUCCAAUAAAAUUAGACUUUCUAUUUUAUGUUUUCUAUAAUUUACUUUUUUCAAAGAUUUAGCCAAAAUAAAUAUAAAAACAACCUAGAAAAAUAGUGAGUAGAUCAUACUCCCUCUAUCUUUGAAAGCUUCAAUUCCUAGAAUAUCAUACUCCCUCUGUCUUUAAAAGCUUCAAUUCCUAGAAUUCGUACUAGUCGUAAACCAAAUGAAUAAUAAUAACAACGAACUUACUUGAAUUAGAAGUUGAAUACUAAAAGACUCUCAGAAGGAGGCUCCAGAGUUAGUGGAACUUGAUCCCGUAGGUACAAGCCGAGGAGGAGCCACCAACAAGCCGAAGCUUUCCCCAACUCUUCCCAACACUCUAUUUCUCUAUUUCUAAAUAAGACUAGCCCUAAUCACUUGUGCACUACAAGACUAAUCUUCUCUCAAUGCUUCUCUUGAUUCUCUAUAUAGGAACUCUUGACGUACAAGCAGAAUUAGGGUUUCAACUUAGAGGGGAAUGCUUUCAUCUAGAGGGCUUGGUAUUUAUAGCCCUGUGGAAUGAACAUGGGCCAUUGGAUCAAACCGACUUAAACAAUGGUGGAGAUCAAUCCUUGAGGUUGGUGGAGGAAUGUGAGAGAAGGCCACGCUAGGUGGGGCCAGGCUGGGUCGGCCGUCCUAGCCCCUAGGUCAGCCGACCUGGCCCUAUGCCAGGUGGGCACCUCUUUGCAGGGUCUCACCUUUGGUAUUCUCUAUAAUGUUCUUCUCUCAAGAUUACGUUGGAAUAUGACUUUUACACCGACGUCCACUAUAUCUUCUCCUAUUUUCCUGUUUAAUCCUUGAAAAACACACAUAUACCAAAACUCGUGGAACUCUAUCAAUUGAACCCCUAUCCUAUACAUAUAUUUCAUUAUGAGCAUUUAUGCAUGUUUAGUUGGUGGUUAAAAGUAACACUUAUCAACCGUCAGUAGUGUCGCGGGUAGUGCAACGCCCUCGUCUUGUCUUGCUUUGUGUGCUCAUCCUUGCCAGCUUCAGGCUAGACAAUGGUAUGAACAAGGUGCAUGCCAUCGAGUCUGAUCUUGAUGUCGGUCGCCCAAGUGAGGUAGUUGCUGCCAUCCACGGCGAGCAUCUCAAAAUCUCUCUUUGCGAUGUCCAACAUGCCCGCACAAUUAAACUACAGGAUUAGUAGAUGUCGAUGCGUAAUUUUUAGUAUUACGUCUUAAUAUAGGUGUAAUCUUCAAGAUUACUUUAUAAUUAAAUAUUAAGAAUUGUAAUAAAAUAAAUAUGUGGAAUUUAAAUACAGCAGCAACAGUAGCAGCAGCAGCAACAACAACAAUAACAAUAACACCCCACUUUCCCCCCUCCCCACCCCGCCCCGCACACGGUAGCGCACGGCAGAACCGCGCCGCCGCCGUUGCCGCCCAGCCCCGUGCCGCCAUGCCGCCCAUGCAGCCGCAACGCUGGGCCGCGCUCGAGGGCCGCCGCCGCUAUAGGGCCGCCGCGCGCCAGCGUGUAGAGCAGGAGGGCCGCCGUCCGACGCCCUCGCCGGCUGCCUUCUGCUGCCGAGGGGAGCAAAGCCGCAGCUUGUGCACGUGCCGGUCUCCACCCCACCGACGCAUCUCAAUUUGCCGAGGGUGUUGGGCUGGAGUUGAAUGCAAUUUUGGGUUCUUAUUUUUUUUAGUCCAGCAUGCGAAUAGAAUUUUAGGGGCAUAAUUUGAGGACCGGGCGUUGUGCAGGAAUAAAGAGAGGAGGAGGUAGCCAUGGGGGCAGGCCGCGCCCCUUGCCAAUGGCCGUGCCUGCGCCGACGGCUGUGGCCGCUCUAGGGCCGCGCGCCGCGUCGGGGCUUGCCCGUGCCCUGCGUUCAGUAAUAUAAUGCAGCAUGUACAUGCUCAAUAUUGCUUAUCUGGACCAUCCAAAUGUGCUCUGAGAUUCGUGCUGCUGCACUUCUUCUAACUGUGUUCACACUUCUCCCUAUUGUUUUACACAUAUUCAACAGUAUAGAUAAGCAAUGUCCAGCAUGUAGACCUCAUCUGUGCAGGGGCCAGCGCCGGCGGCCGUGCCGGGCCGCGCCGAGGGCCCGCUGUGGCAGUAUGUGCCCGGUUGCGUCAGGGCGCCAUGGUAGCUGUCCGCACGAAAUAUCAAGCCACGAAAUCCCAAAAACACCCUCGCACGGGUAGCUGUCCGCGAAACCGCGACUCCGUCCCUUCUCCCACGUGUUCCUCGCCGCCGCCGAACUCCAACGCGUCACGCCUCUUGCCUCCCUCCACGAAGAAGCGGAGCACACGCCACCAGCUCCACGGAAUCCGACGGCCUCGCCCUCCUCGUCUCCUCCUGUGGACUGGAGCGCCGCCGGGUAGAGAUCUCUCCCACAUCCGCGCCUCAGCCAAUUCCUCCUACCUCCGGUAAGGCGGGCUCUAUUAUGGCCACGAAUUUUUAAGUCUAAUUCUUUGUUACGACCUUUGCUUGUUCGACAUAUGGUACUAGGUGAUUUUGGUUUUACUAAUCGAAUAGUGGGUUACAGAGUUGGUUGGUGACCGUGUCCACGCUGGUAUCACAGUUUGCAGUUCAGUUAUGUUAGUAUCUUUGAUUUGUUGGCCAGGCAUAUUUCAGCUCCUUGCCAUCCCAUGAUCGAAUACUAUUGCACGGGUGGCCAUUUGCUACCUUCACAUGUAUGCUCUGCCCUCGCUCAUCUCAUAGUUUUGCUCUAAUAUGGAACAAAAACAAAUGACGCCUUUGAUUUCUUUGUGGUGCUUAGUUUGGUACUUCAGCUCCCGUAUAGGUUCGGUCACCAAAUGUCAGCUUUGAAUCCUGUAUGCAUUGAGCCAUUGCUAUUUAAUACGUCUUUGCUCGCUCGUGAAUUCUGGUUAUUCCUCCAGUGUAAAGUGUGGCUUAGAAAUGCUUACCCCCUAGUCUGAUGAGACUUUGUUUGAUGAUUGGUGGGACGGAAGUUCAAAUGCAGUGGCUGUUCACUUAAGAAAGGGACUCAACUCCAUCAUUAUUCUAGGAGCGUGGAAUAUUCGUAAUUGUUGUGUGUUUGAUGCUGAAUCUCCAAACCUAGCUACAGCUCUGUUGCUCGCUAGUGAGGGGCUUCUUUAUUGGAGCUUGGCAGGGGCACAGGUAUCAAUAAUCUCAUUUCCUAGGGGCUGAAUAUGGAGUUAAUUUUGGGUUGAGGUCACCUACUUUGUGUGUCAAGGGCUAGUUUGUUUAAUUUGGACAUAGUGGUGUUAGUGGUUGUGCCUUGUAUGUGUUCUUAUCCAUUUUUUCUUCUUAAUACAAUGAUACCCAGCUCUCUUGCGUGUUCGAGAAAAAAAAUUGAUAUUUAAUACAUUGGUAACUAGUAUUAUCAGCAUCAGGCUUGGCGUAAAAAAUUUGUUUCUUGCAACCUAGCUUAUUCGUUUGUGUACCACUGCCAUAUGGGACAGCAGGAAUAGGACAUGAUCUAUGGUAGGUUAUUUUGCCUUCACUUUAGGUGUGCUAUUCUAAUAGUGACCAAUCCUGUCCAUGCUGACAUGUUGUUAUCGCAGUUCAGUUAUGUUAUUAUCUUUGAUUUGUUUGUUAGGCAUAAUUCUGCUCCUUGCUAUCCCAUGAUCAAAUACUAGUGCACGGGUGGCCAUUUGCUACCUUCACAUGUAUCCUCUGCCCCCCUGCCCGCUGAUCUCACAGUUUUAAUGGUGCCUUUGAUUUUUUUGUGGUCCUUAAUUAGUUUGUACUUUGUACUUCAGCUCCCGAAGGUUCAGUCACGAAAUGUGGAUGGGCUUUAAAUCCUGUGUAUGCAUUGAUAUUUAAAUUAAUAUGUUGGUAACGAGUGUAUCAGAGCUAUCUGCACCCCUGUUUGCUACAGCUAAUACGUCUGCUUUGCUAUCAUUUCUACAGAGAAUGGUGAUCCUCUGUCCAGGGUGUGUUGCUCCAUCAGUUCACCGUCCAUCAGUCACCGUAAUUUUCUGCCCAGAUGGUUGCUGCUGAACAAUAGCUCGAGAAUGUAUUGCCAUGUAUUUCUAGACAGAAUGAAACCAAAAGGACAAAACAAACAUCAGAGGAUGCCUUGCUUCUCCAAGGGGUCUUCCUUUCAAGGUACUGUCUGAUCAGACUUUUGAUGUUGUCGCUCCAAGCUUAUUUCUUUGCCCUGGUAAACAAUGUAUUUCUAUGUGAUUGUUCUUUGUAAUAUACCCAUCAAUAUAGUAUGCAUUCAUAUUGCGUAGUUGUAUGCAACGGUUUCUGCUUCCACAAGGAAUCAUAUUAAUGUUUCACUUACCGGCUGCAAUGUAGUUGUAGUUUGUUUUCUCCUAUUUAAUUUCUCAUUUUAUUUUACUAUUGACACCAUGAAAGCUCUGUUUGUUGGUUGUGAAAAGUUACCAUUGUAUCCACACCAUUCAGUGACCAACUGACCAUUGUUCCUUCAACUCUGCAGAUCUGGUGCCCGCUGUAAAGCCUUCACGCCUUCUUCCAGCAGAGGAACUAAAGACAUAUCCCAAUACUGUUCCUGAGGAGAUAUUUAACACAAUCAUACUAGAUGACGCUGAUUCGUUCUAUAUGCUGGAGCUUAGCACAAGUAGAGAAUUUAGUUCAUCUUUGGAGAAAAAUUCUGCAAUCUUAAUCUGCUUGAUUGAUGUUGAUGGUGACUCCUUUCUACAAAGAGUACCGGCAAUCUAUUUGGGUCAACCUACACUUGGAAUUAAGACAGCGCAACUGAUACCCAUCCAAAGUGGUUCAGUUGAUGUUGUCACUUUCAAGGCCUCAAAACUGAAAAGGAUUAAAGAAGUCUGGAUCGGUCUAGAAUCAGGUACAUCCCAUUUCAUGUUCUUUGCAAAUAUAAUGUAAUGGCAGUAUGUUCACCUGAUGAGUGUUUUCUAUCCUUUGUUUAUCAAUCUUAUCCUUGAAGGUCAGGUUCAUGGAGAUUAGAUGGUUUGAGCUUGAAAGUAAUACAUGGACCGGUUGAUCCACCUAAAGAAAUUAAUGGAACUCCUGAACAGAAGUUCAAUGGUUUGCAGUACACUUUUGAGAAAAUAAAUGAGCUUCUUGGAGAUGAUGGAGCUUCAGUAGCUGAAGCAAGGCCUGUGGCUGUCACUGACCUCUCAGGAGUCGGCCUUUCCAAUCUUCAAGAAGGGUUGUUAUCCUCAGAAAGCAAAGCUUCAAGCGUUAAGGAACUAAGAGAGGAUGGGUUGAGAGAGUAUGCUGACCUCAAACAAUCUCUGCUGCUCUAUGAUGCAUCUAUAGUGAUCACUGGCUUCUCCGCCUUCACCUUGGCUUCCAAUGAUAGCGCCGCCUAUUCGUUCCUGAUAGGUGGCAUUGGUGGGUUCCUCUAUCUGUUGCUGCUCCAAAGAUCAGUUGAUGGUUUGCCUGUGAUCACUUCACCUUCAGAAGCUGGCAGUGCACAGCCCUCGGUAACAGGUUUCAGUGGUGUAAGGAGGCCAUGGUUGAUACUAUCACUAGUACUGGUUGCAGGCGCAGUUGCACUGAAGUAUUGUGCUGGAGGUGACAGCUUUGAACUCACACCGACGGAGCUCUUUGUUGGCACCGCAGGGUUCCUAGCAAACAAGGUUGUUGUUCUUCUUGCAGCAUUCAUGCCUAUGCUAAGUGACUCGAAGAGUGAAGAUGGAUCUGGGGACAUCAAUUAACUGGACUUUAAAAAUAGGUUCGUACUAGUUUCAUAUAGAAGCUCUAUAUUCAAGAUCUGAAGGUAGUCUCAUAUAGAAGCUCUAUAUUCAAGAUCUGAAAGCAAUUAGCUGAUGUGCAAAGGGCAAAUCCUAGUCUCUGAACCAGAAAACUGAACCACGUCGCUAGAUCAUGAUGGUAACUGAGUCCAAACUUCAAUCACCGCAGCAGGUCGCAGGCAUGGUAUCUUUGCAAGGGUUCAAUUCACAGCAAGGGUUCUAGUGUUGUGGUACUUAGAAGUCAGAAACUUGAGUUGUAGUACUCAGAAAUCAGACACUCAAAUGUUAAGAUGAUCUACAGACUACAGGAACAUGACUACACCAGGACCUCCAGCUCCAGAAACGAGCUCGGAAAACAUGAUGAUUGUACGAGAACAAUGCCCCCAUUGUUGUAUGUGAAUAUGACAUUUGUGAGGUAAAUAUACAGUAACAACUAUCAAAACAAAAUGCUUGGCGUUGCUCCAAAUCAGCAUCAUGUAAGAAAAUUUCUGCACUGAAGAUUGUUAGCUUCACUCAACACAACAAUAGUAAUACUUAUUAUCAACUAUUCAACUAUCAAGGUCCGCUGAACAGUAAUUAUUUUUUAAACUUAUUAUCAUAUAUAAAGGUCUGAUGAAGUGAGCACCAUUUCCUUAG